UACGUAGGGUGCGAGCGUUAAUCGGAGUUACUGGGCGUAAAGCGUGCGCAGGCGGUUUUGUAAGCCAGAUGUGAAAUCCCCGGGCUCAACCUGGGAACUGCAUUUGGGACUGCAAGGCUUGAGUACGGCAGAGGGGGGUAGAAUUCCUGGUGUAGCAGUGAAAUGCGUAGAUAUCAGGAGGAAUACCGAUGGCGAAGGCAGCCCCCUGGGUCGAUACUGACGCUCAUGCACGAAAGCGUGGGGAGCAAACAGG
This 253-nucleotide ribosomal RNA is filed under the name uncultured bacterium. RNAcentral's name for it is "partial 16S ribosomal RNA". It matches the Rfam family "Bacterial small subunit ribosomal RNA", at positions 524 to 776 of the family's 1533-position model. The record is from RNAcentral.